This 485-nucleotide ribosomal RNA is filed under the name uncultured Saprospiraceae bacterium. RNAcentral's name for it is "bacterial SSU rRNA". It matches the Rfam family "Bacterial small subunit ribosomal RNA", at positions 28 to 505 of the family's 1533-position model. The record is from RNAcentral. Lineage: Bacteria; Pseudomonadati; Bacteroidota; Saprospiria; Saprospirales; Saprospiraceae.
GAUGAACGCUAGCGGGAGGCUUAAUACAUGCAAGUCGAACGGCAGCAGUCUGAACCUAGUUCGGAGCUGGCGAGUGGCGCACGGGUGAGUAACGCGUACACAACCUACCUUUAAGAGGGGGAUAGCCCUGGGAAACUGGGAUUAAUACCCCAUAGUAUCAUAAAUAGGCAUCUAUUAAUGAUUAAAGUUGAGGCGCUUAAAGAUGGGUGUGCGUACUAUUAGCUAGUUGGUAAGGUAAUGGCUUACCAAGGCUACGAUAGUUAGGGGGCGUGAGAGCGUGACCCCCCACACGGGUACUGAGACACGGACCCGACUCCUACGGGAGGCAGCAGUAAGGAAUAUUGGACAAUGGGCGAAAGCCUGAUCCAGCCAUCCCGCGUGCAGGAUGACGGCCCUAUGGGUUGUAAACUGCUUUUGUUAGGGAAGAAACCUAUCUUUUUAAAGAUAGCUGACGGUACCUUUCGAAUAAGCACCGGCUAACUCCG